Molecule: small RNA, 146 nt
Filed under: Chelonoidis abingdonii (Abingdon island giant tortoise)
Lineage: Eukaryota; Metazoa; Chordata; Testudines; Testudinidae
Description: TUC338 (ENSCABG00000012870.1)
Source: RNAcentral
CCAACAGCCCUGGAGACUGAAGUCAUCUCUUAAUCCACAGAAGAGAUAGUGGCAGUACAGAUUUACCCAUUCUGUCAUAGAAUCAGAAUCAUAGAAGAUUAGAGUUGGAAGAGACCUCAGGAGGUCAUCUAGUCCAAUGCCCUGCU